This 893-nucleotide ribosomal RNA is filed under the name Rhodoglobus sp. 01WB01.1-49. RNAcentral's name for it is "bacterial SSU rRNA". It matches the Rfam family "Bacterial small subunit ribosomal RNA", at positions 13 to 917 of the family's 1533-position model. The record is from RNAcentral. Lineage: Bacteria; Bacillati; Actinomycetota; Actinomycetes; Micrococcales; Microbacteriaceae.
UUGAUCCUGGCUCAGGACGAACGCUGGCGGCGUGCUUAACACAUGCAAGUCGAACGAUGAAGAGGAGCUUGCUCCUUGGAUUAGUGGCGAACGGGUGAGUAACACGUGAGUAACCUGCCCUUGACUCUGGGAUAAGCACUGGAAACGGUGUCUAAUACCGGAUACGAGCUUCAGCCGCAUGGCUAGGAGCUGGAAAGAAUUUUGGUCAAGGAUGGACUCGCGGCCUAUCAGCUAGUUGGUGAGGUAACGGCCCACCAAGGCGACGACGGGUAGCCGGCCUGAGAGGGUGACCGGCCACACUGGGACUGAGACACGGCCCAGACUCCUACGGGAGGCAGCAGUGGGGAAUAUUGCACAAUGGGCGAAAGCCUGAUGCAGCAACGCCGCGUGAGGGACGACGGCCUUCGGGUUGUAAACCUCUUUUAGUAGGGAAGAAGCGAAAGUGACGGUACCUGCAGAAAAAGCACCGGCUAACUACGUGCCAGCAGCCGCGGUAAUACGUAGGGUGCAAGCGUUGUCCGGAAUUAUUGGGCGUAAAGAGCUCGUAGGCGGUUUGUCGCGUCUGCUGUGAAAACCCGAGGCUCAACCUCGGGCCUGCAGUGGGUACGGGCAGACUAGAGUGCGGUAGGGGAGAUUGGAAUUCCUGGUGUAGCGGUGGAAUGCGCAGAUAUCAGGAGGAACACCGAUGGCGAAGGCAGAUCUCUGGGCCGUUACUGACGCUGAGGAGCGAAAGCAUGGGGAGCGAACAGGAUUAGAUACCCUGGUAGUCCAUGCCGUAAACGUUGGGAACUAGAUGUAGGGGCCAUUCCACGGUUUCUGUGUCGCAGCUAACGCAUUAAGUUCCCCGCCUGGGGAGUACGGCCGCAAGGCUAAAACUCAAAGGAAUUGACGGG